UGGGGAAUAUUGCACAAUGGGCGCAAGCCUGAUGCAGCCAUGCCGCGUGAAGGAAGAAGGCUUUCGGGUUGUAAACUUCUUUUGUCAGGGACGAGUAGAAGACGGUACCUGACGAAUAAGCCACGGCUAACUACGUGCCAGCAGCCGCGGUAAUACGUAUGGUGCAAGCGUUAUCCGGAUUUACUGGGUGUAAAGGGAGCGUAGACGGCUGUGUAAGUCUGAAGUGAAAGCCCGGGGCUCAACCCCGGGACUGCUUUGGAAACUAUGCAGCUAGAGUGUCGGAGAGGUAAGUGGAAUUCCCAGUGUAGCGGUGAAAUGCGUAGAUAUUGGGAGGAACACCAGUGGCGAAGGCGGCUUACUGGACGAUGACUGACGUUGAGGCUCGAAAGCGUGGGGAGCAAACAGGAUUAGAUACCCUAGUAGUCCACGCCGUAAACGAUGAGAACUAGGUGUUGGGGAAAUAACUCAGUGCCGCAGUUAACGCAGUAAGUUCUCCGCCUGGGGAGUAUGCACGCAAGUGUGAAACUCAAAGGAAUUGACGGGGGCCCGCACAAGCGGUGGAGUAUGUGGUUUAAUUCGAAGCAACGCGAAGAACCUUACCAGGCCUUGACAUCCCUUGCAGAGGUAUAGAGAUAUAUCCGAGGUUAUCAAGGAGACAGGUGGUGCAUGGUUGUCGUCAGCUCGUGUCGUGAGAUGUUGGGUUAAGUCCCGCAACGAGCGCAACCCCUGUUUUCAGUUACCAGCACGUAAAGGUGGGGACUCUGGAAAGACUGCCGGUGAUAAAUCGGAGGAAGGUGGGGACGACGUCAAAUCAUCAUGCCCUUUAUGUCCUGGGCUACACACGUACUACAAUGGCUAUAACAAAGAGAAGCGAAGCAGUGAUGUGGAGCAAAACUCAAAAAAGUAGUCUCAGUUCGGAUUGUAGGCUGAAAUUCGCCUACAUGAAGCCGGAAUUGCUAGUAAUGGCAGGUCAGCAUACUGCCGUGAAUACGUUCCC
Molecule: ribosomal RNA, 997 nt
Filed under: uncultured bacterium
Lineage: Bacteria
Description: bacterial SSU rRNA
Rfam family: Bacterial small subunit ribosomal RNA
Source: RNAcentral